RNAcentral lists this ribosomal RNA (299 nucleotides) under uncultured bacterium. RNAcentral's name for it is "partial 16S ribosomal RNA". It matches the Rfam family "Bacterial small subunit ribosomal RNA", at positions 29 to 307 of the family's 1533-position model. The record is from RNAcentral.
AGUGAACGCUGGCGGCGUGCUUAACACAUGCAAGUCGAACGCGAAAGUGUAGCAAUACAUGAGUAGAGUGGCGAACGGGUGAGUAAAAUGUGGGUAAUCUAGCUUUCAGAGGGGGAUAACCCGGGGAAACCGUGGGCUAAAACCGACGUAACAUAUUGGGGUUUAAGGACCCUAAUAUCAAACAUGGCCUCUAUUUAUAAGCUAUGGCUGAGAGAUGAGCCCACAUCCUAUCACGCUUGUUGGUGGGGUAACGGCCCACCAAGGCGACGACGGGUAGCCGGCCUGAGAGGGUGGUCCGG